CGGAGUGUAGGUCAGUCUGGUAGACCACUCGCUUUGGGAGCGAGAUGUCGGAGGUUCGAAUCCUUCCACUCCGACCA
RNAcentral lists this transfer RNA (77 nucleotides) under Rickettsiales bacterium TMED131. RNAcentral's name for it is "tRNA-Pro". It matches the Rfam family "tRNA". From Rfam's summary of the family: Transfer RNA (tRNA) molecules are approximately 80 nucleotides in length. Their secondary structure includes four short double-helical elements and three loops (D, anti-codon, and T loops). Further hydrogen bonds mediate the characteristic L-shaped molecular structure. tRNAs have two regions of fundamental functional importance: the anti-codon, which is responsible for specific mRNA codon recognition, and the 3' end, to which the tRNAs corresponding amino acid is attached (by aminoacyl-tRNA synthetases). tRNAs cope with the degeneracy of the genetic code in two manners: having more than one tRNA (with a specific anti-codon) for a particular amino acid; and 'wobble' base-pairing, i.e. permitting non-standard base-pairing at the 3rd anti-codon position. Lineage: Bacteria; Pseudomonadati; Pseudomonadota; Alphaproteobacteria; Rickettsiales. The record is from RNAcentral.